Molecule: ribozyme, 115 nt
Filed under: Aedes aegypti (yellow fever mosquito)
Lineage: Eukaryota; Metazoa; Arthropoda; Insecta; Diptera; Culicidae
Description: drz-agam-1 ribozyme
Rfam family: drz-agam-1 ribozyme
Source: Rfam by way of RNAcentral
UGCCCAGCAACUCCUAUCCCUACCUCCUCGCGGUACUUGCUAGGUACGAGUAACCUUAGGGAAGAUCGGGUAGCCAACCCCGGUGGGAACUCUGGUCGUAUGCUGACAGGGAAGG